UUCCGCUUAGUUCAGUUGGUAGAGCGUGGGACUCUUAAUCUUGAGGUUGUGAGUUCUAGCCCCACAUUGGGUG
Molecule: transfer RNA, 73 nt
Filed under: Mustela putorius furo (domestic ferret)
Lineage: Eukaryota; Metazoa; Chordata; Mammalia; Carnivora; Mustelidae
Rfam family: tRNA
About the family: Transfer RNA (tRNA) molecules are approximately 80 nucleotides in length. Their secondary structure includes four short double-helical elements and three loops (D, anti-codon, and T loops). Further hydrogen bonds mediate the characteristic L-shaped molecular structure. tRNAs have two regions of fundamental functional importance: the anti-codon, which is responsible for specific mRNA codon recognition, and the 3' end, to which the tRNAs corresponding amino acid is attached (by aminoacyl-tRNA synthetases). tRNAs cope with the degeneracy of the genetic code in two manners: having more than one tRNA (with a specific anti-codon) for a particular amino acid; and 'wobble' base-pairing, i.e. permitting non-standard base-pairing at the 3rd anti-codon position.
Source: Rfam by way of RNAcentral